CUGAGUGUAACCACCAGAUCCUAAAGCUUGCUAGGUCGAUGCAGGUGGUGAGAAUGAAGGCUGCUGGGGUCUCUGCUGAUUUUAAGGGCAUUAGGCAGCCCUAUGACCCAUCUGUCCAUAAGUAAAACAUCUAUUGUUGCCUUUCCUACACUCCCUAAAAUGCCGAUUAUUACAUUUGCGGCAUAAGGGAGCACCAGAUCCACCUGAACCACCAAAAUCUCUUUGUCUCUGGAACCUCAGACCUCUAGUGAAUCUACCACCUCUCCUCUUUAUAUGAGUACUUAAUCCUCCACUAGAAGAGUUGGAACUACCACCACUUCUCUUAAAGUUCUGGGCCUUGCGGGGUCCCUGAAAUGUUUGCCCUUUUCCUUUGUCAUCUCGUCUCUGGCCCCCAUUAUUUCCUUCCUCAUCCUCACUUUCACUGGGCAUGUUUUCUGAGGCCUCAAUCCUCAGUAGAAUCUCAUAAAACUCCUAGUAAAAGGCACAGAGAGUCGAUGUCGCUAUAGAACGCCAUUUCUUCUUAGUACCCAAACUGAAACGACGAAGCAUCUCUACCGGAUUAGCAACAACCUCCGGAUCAUAUCUCGACAGAUCAGUAAACAUCCUGUAAUACUCAUUAGCGGACAUCUUUCCUUGCCACAGAUGAGUAAACUCCUGUUUCUUACGAUCGAUAUAUGCAGGAGGAAUGAACAUUUUUCGAAACAUCUUCUUAAACACUCCCCAGUCCACAAUCUCUGCUGGGGUCAACUGGUAAGACUCUUGCCUCCACCAGGAUGCAGGUUGUUCUCCUAAAAAACCAGGUAGUCAUCUCGACCCACCUAUUAGGAGGAAGAUUCCAUUAACUCUACAUCACCUCAAAGGUCUUCUCCAUAAGAUUCAUCCAUUUUUCUGCCCCCUCAUGACCUUCAUUUCCCAUGAAGUGGGUCAACUUCAGAUUAUGAACUGUCUCAAGAGGUGUCCUCUGAUGAGUACAGAAUGCUGUCUGAAUGGCAGAAACUAUAGCUUCCCUUAAUUGAGCAAUAUCGGGGAAAUUAGAUUCAGCUGAUUGACGGGGCUUUCUACGAGGCGGCAUAGUUCAGACAUAAGACAUCACAAGGAUUAGAACAUUCAAGAAUUAUACAGGAUUGCUAAACCUAGGCUCUGAUACCAAACUGACACAACCCAACCAAGAUCAAGGCAUGUUGGCCGUCACGUGAGAGUGACGUAGCCAUGUGCACAGUGCGGAAGCGAUAAUGAUAAGAAUUAUACUAAUAAUUAAAAACUGAAUUACUAGAGUGCACUACUAAAUAGAUAGUGAUAAGAGUUAGUUACAGUAGUAAACACUCCUAAUCAGAGCAUAAAAUCUAGGUGCAAUCCAGUAGGACAAGUACUAGUUAUACAGUACCAGGAAUUUCCUACAAUUAUUUCGAUAAGUCAGAAUCGCA
Molecule: long non-coding RNA, 1424 nt
Filed under: Malus domestica (apple)
Lineage: Eukaryota; Viridiplantae; Streptophyta; Magnoliopsida; Rosales; Rosaceae
Description: long non-coding RNA (MDOM_LNC002956)
Source: RNAcentral